Molecule: ribosomal RNA, 336 nt
Filed under: uncultured bacterium
Lineage: Bacteria
Description: bacterial SSU rRNA
Rfam family: Bacterial small subunit ribosomal RNA
Source: RNAcentral
AUUGAACGCUGGCGGCAUGCCUUACACAUGCAAGUCGAACGGCAGCACGGGGGCAACCCUGGUGGCGAGUGGCGAACGGGUGAGUAAUGCAUCGGAACGUGUCCUCUUGUGGGGGAUAACCAGUCGAAAGAUUGGCUAAUACCGCAUGAGAUCGAGAGAUGAAAGCGGGGGACCCGAGGGUAACUUCGGGCCCCGCGCGAGAGGAGCGGCCGAUGCCGGAUUAGCUAGUUGGUGGGGUAAGAGCCUACCAAGGCGACGAUCCGUAGCUGGUCUGAGAGGACGACCAGCCACACUGGGACUGAGACACGGCCCAGACUCCUACGGGAGGCAGCAGGU